AUAGGACCCUCCAAGCUCAUUGUUUGGGGCCCUGGGUCUGAACCACGCCCUGAGCAACUAGGUCCUGAACUUCCUGAUGGGUCUUCCCCAGUUGUUGAAGUUGACCUGGACCGUCUGUAUGAUGACGUGAAGCGCUACAGCUGUACACCUCGGAACUACUCUGUCAACCUGAGGGAGGAGCUGAGGGCCACCAACGCCGUGUUCUUCCCACGAUGCCUACUGGUGCAGCGCUGUGGGGGGAACUGUGCCUGUGGGACGGACAACUGGAACGGCUGUACCUGCCGCCCGGCCAAGACCAGUGACAAACUACACGAGGUGUUGAAGUAUGCUCCUGAGGUGGGAGGUUAUUCACGGCGUCAGACAGUUCGUGUCAGCUGGGCCCUAGCGGAGGUCCACUUGACGCACCACGAGCGCUGUGACUGUGUUUGUCCCUCCAGGCCACCCCGCUGAGAGACAAUGGGACAGGGGGACACAGCUCUGGGACUAACUGCUGUUUAUAUCUCCAUCUCUCUCUCUCUGUAGCACUCCACUGCUAACCACAUACCAACCUGUUACAAACCUAGUCACCAACAACCAUCCAUACCCCCUCUUUUGGUCAUGAUUCCCCAAACUGUGUCCUGCUUCCACCCAGCCAAAACCCAAAUGUACCCCACCCUCUCCACUACCAGCUCAUGAACCCCCCCCCCCCACUGUCUGAGCACUGAGAUAUGUCUCCCCUCAGUGUCCGAGCCCCCAACAUGGCUGACCCACUGAGGUAUGACCCCCCCCCCCAAUCACGGUCCGAGCCCCCAACAUGGCUGAUCCACUGAGGUAUGACCCCCCCCCCCCACUGCCCUCCCCCCCAACAUGGCUGAUCCACUGAUGUAUGACCCCCCACUACCCGAGCCCCCGACAUGGCUGAUUCACUGAGGCAUGA
Molecule: long non-coding RNA, 916 nt
Organism: Salvelinus namaycush (lake trout)
Lineage: Eukaryota; Metazoa; Chordata; Actinopteri; Salmoniformes; Salmonidae
Exons: 3
Source: RefSeq, a predicted model, not a curated record